ACACACGGAGAGGAUGGAGACCAUCAGAGGAGACGAUCAGUCAGGAGAGAGAGGAGACCAGAGAGGAGACCAGAGAGAAGAGAGGAGACCAGAGACCAGAGAGAAGAGAGGAGACCAGAGAGGAGACCAGAGAGAAGAGAGGAGACCAGAGACCAGAGAGAAGAGAGGAGACCAGAGAGGAGACCAGAGAGAAGAGAGGAGACCAGAGACCAGAGAGGAGACCAGAGAGAAGAGAGGAGACCAGAGACCAGAGACCAGAGACCAGAGAGGAGACCAGAGACCAGAGAGGAGACCAGAGACCAGAGACCAGAGACCAGAGACCAGAGAGGAGACCAGAGACCAGAGAGGAGACCAGAGACCAGAGACCAGAUACCAGAGAGAAGAGAGGAGACCAGAGACCAGAGAGGAGACCAGAGAGAAGAGAGGAGACCAGAGACCAGAGAGAAGAGACCAGAAACCAGAGAGGAGACCAGAGACCAGAGACCAGAGACCAGAGACCAGAGACCAGAGAGAAGAGAGGAGACCAGAGAGAAGAGACCAGAAACCAGAGAGGAGACCAGAGACCAGAGACCAGAGAGGAGACCAGAGACCAGAGAGGAGACCAGAGACCAGAGAGGAGACCAGAGACCAGAUACCAGAGAGAAGAGAGGAGACCAGAGACCAGAGAGGAGACCAGAGACCAGAGAGAAGAGAGGAGACCAGAGACCAGAGAGAAGAGACCAGAAACCAGAGAGGAGACCAGAGACCAGAGACCAGAGACCAGAGACCAGAGACCAGAGAGGAGACCAGAGAGAAGAGAGGAGACAAAAGACCAGAGAGGAGACCAGAGAGAAGAGAGGAGACAAAAGACCAGAGAGGAGACCAGAGACCAGAGAGGACAGAUGGAGCUCCUGUUGCUGCUGCUGCUGCUUCAGAGCUCGGCUGCAACACUUCAGAAUUUCUGCUCCAACUCGACGGUGCUGAAGACUCGGACAGCGUGUCACUCGUGCAGCAUCAGCAUGAUGAUGCCGUGUCCGUCCACAUACAAACAGACGCCCAGAUCCACCGUGCGGGACUGCAAGUACUUCAUCAGGACUCUCAGUCUGGUGUUGCCCCUCAACGGCUGCUCCUUUGAGUGCUACAGAGAGGCCGAGGUGAGGAGUUGCUGUCCCGGCUCCUGGGGUCCAGACUGCACCGGUGAGUACAGAAACACACCCAGGACACACAACUUAAUAAU
Molecule: long non-coding RNA, 1216 nt
Filed under: Cottoperca gobio
Lineage: Eukaryota; Metazoa; Chordata; Actinopteri; Perciformes; Bovichtidae
Description: lncRNA (ENSCGOG00000012351.1)
Source: RNAcentral